CCAUUUUGUGCCUGCAUGCUUGCUUAGCAGGAGUGAGCACAUGCAUGCACCCAGAGAAAAUUGCCUCUGUCCUAGUGGCACACGGGAGCACAAGGCUCUGCCCCGUGAUGUACAGUCCCUUUCCACAAUGUUGGAGAAAAAGCCGGGCCUUGUGUCUGCGCCUGAAUAUUCCUACAACUUCUCAGAGUCCUAUGGACAAUGACUGGGGAGAUAAACCAUGCAGGAAACACUA
Molecule: small nucleolar RNA, 232 nt
Filed under: Castor canadensis (American beaver)
Lineage: Eukaryota; Metazoa; Chordata; Mammalia; Rodentia; Castoridae
Description: Small nucleolar RNA SNORA73 family (ENSCCNG00000007804.1)
Rfam family: Small nucleolar RNA SNORA73 family
About the family: U17 (SNORA73A and SNORA73B) also known as E1 belongs to the H/ACA class of small nucleolar RNAs (snoRNAs).
Source: RNAcentral